RNAcentral lists this transfer RNA (72 nucleotides) under Pseudomonas indica. Its description in RNAcentral is "tRNA-Cys". It matches the Rfam family "tRNA". Rfam says of the family: Transfer RNA (tRNA) molecules are approximately 80 nucleotides in length. The record is from RNAcentral. Lineage: Bacteria; Pseudomonadati; Pseudomonadota; Gammaproteobacteria; Pseudomonadales; Pseudomonadaceae.
CAUUCGAUAGCUCAGUCGGGUAGAGCAGCCCUCGCAGAGGGCCUGUCGCGGGUUCGAGUCCCGCUCGAAUAC